UACGGGGGGGGCAAGCGUUGUUCGGAAUCACUGGGCGUAAAGCGCACGUAGGCGGAUUGCUAAGUCAGGGGUGAAAUCCUGGAGCUCAACUCCAGAACUGCCCUUGAUACUGGCGGUCUCGAGUCCGGGAGAGGUGAGUGGAACUGCGAGUGUAGAGGUGAAAUUCGUAGAUAUUCGCAAGAACACCAGUGGCGAAGGCGGCUCACUGGCCCGGUACUGACGCUGAGGUGCGAAAGCGUGGGGAGCAAACAGG
Molecule: ribosomal RNA, 253 nt
Filed under: uncultured bacterium
Lineage: Bacteria
Description: partial 16S ribosomal RNA
Rfam family: Bacterial small subunit ribosomal RNA
Source: RNAcentral